AUGAAGGAGUUGGGACUGCGAGAGGAAGACCUUGAUGAUGUGGUGUUUGAUGAAAAGGAAGCAGCACUGGUGGCUCCUCGCUGGGUCACUCUUGCAAAGGUUCAUACCAUCAAGACGUACAGUCAAUACUGGUUUUUUCGCAAUAUGCGGGCAGCGUGGGAUCUUGCCCAAGAGGUACAAUUCAAGCCUUUGGAGGAUAAUCUCUACUCAGUGCAAUUCUCCUACUUAGGGGAUUGGGAGAGAGUUACACGAGAUGGGCCGUGGCACUUUAGGGGGGACGCAGUGAUCCUCAAGCCAUAUGACAGGAUGACAAAGCCUUCGACGGUUCAACUUGAUAGUAUUCAAAUCUGGGCACAAAUCCAUGAUGUGCCACCACUAUAUGCAUAUCUAGUGUCGUCCCUUGUGGCGAAGGUGGGGGAGGUGUUGUCCGCAGAGCCUAUCUCAUGGGAUUUUGCGGGAAAUUUUCACCAUGUGUGGCUGAGGAUCAAGGUCGAUAAGCCGUUGAAGAACGUUGUUUCCUUGAUCCGAGAUGGCAAGCGCCAAAUCUACAGGGUAAAAUAUGAGAAACUUCUGGAUUGGUGCGCCGUAUGCGGCAUGUUGGGUCACCAGUACAAGGAGCAUGGCACCGGUAUACAUCCACCUUCUGCUUUGGUCUUCAAGGACCUGAAGGCAACCUGGGCAAUGCGUAACAGCCAGGGGCCGGGCGGCGGACGAGGCCAUAGGGGCGGAAGCUGCGAUGGCUAG
This 744-nucleotide ribosomal RNA is filed under the name Triticum aestivum (bread wheat). RNAcentral describes it as "partial small subunit ribosomal RNA". The record is from RNAcentral. Lineage: Eukaryota; Viridiplantae; Streptophyta; Magnoliopsida; Poales; Poaceae.